CCUACGGGAGGCAGCAGUGAGGAAUAUUGGUCAAUGGGCGCAAGCCUGAACCAGCCAAGUCGCGUGAGGGAAGACGGCCCUACGGGUUGUAAACCUCUUUUGCCGGGGAGCAAGCCUGCGCACGUGUGCCCCUGCGGAUAGUACCCGGAGACAAAGCCUCGGCUAACUCCGUGCCAGCAGCCGCGGUAAUACGGAGGAUGCGAGCGUUCUCCGGCUUUAUUGGGUUUAAAGGGUGCGCAGGCGGGCUGUUAAGCCGGCGGUCAAAAUUCAGGGCUCAACCCUGUCGAGCCGUCGGAACUGGCAGCCUUGAGUGGGCGAGAAGGAGGCGGAAUGCGUGGUGUAGCGGUGAAAUGCAUAGAUAUCACGCAGAACGCCGAUUGCGAAGGCAGCAUACCGAGCCCGACUGACGCUGAGGCACGAAAGCGUGGGGAUCGAACAGGAUUAGAUACCCCAGUAGUC
RNAcentral lists this ribosomal RNA (459 nucleotides) under uncultured bacterium. RNAcentral describes it as "partial 16S ribosomal RNA". It matches the Rfam family "Bacterial small subunit ribosomal RNA", at positions 338 to 795 of the family's 1533-position model. The record is from RNAcentral.